Molecule: RNA transcript, 4803 nt
Organism: Rhinolophus ferrumequinum (greater horseshoe bat)
Lineage: Eukaryota; Metazoa; Chordata; Mammalia; Chiroptera; Rhinolophidae
Gene: BEND5
Gene name: BEN domain containing 5
Exons: 4
Source: RefSeq, a predicted model, not a curated record
CCAGCUAGGUCUAAUUUUCGGGGAAACAAGGUAGUAUUCUUGGGAGGAAAAGUAGAUGCCACAAUGAUUAUCACUGAACCCACGUCAUAGGAGGAAAGAUGGGUGAAGGAAGUGAAGAUGUCUGGACACAAGACAGAUGAGACCCUAAGGAGACAGGAUCCUAAGUUUUCCCACAUCUGCAGGGCUGACAUGAGACUCUUGGUGGUGAACCUAGUAAGGUGGCUAAAAGGUAGAAGCUUCUGCCUCACUCUAAGUAAUACCUUUCUAACAGUCAGUAGUGUCCAAAAGUUAAGGGGUGGUAGUAAACUUGCUGACGUUAGGGCUUUAUAAGAGGUGCUUGGACGAGCAUUUGGCAGGGAUAUUGGAGAGGGGAUUCAACCAUGAUUGGUUGAAUUUGCCACUUUUAACUACCUCUGAAAUCUGCACUUUUGAACUGUCUUUACUUGCCAAUCAAUGCAUCAUCAACAUCUUGAGUUUCUGGUAUGUGUAAAGCCUGGCGCUAUGGUCUCUGGGUCAAAGAGGUACCUGACCCAGUUUUCACUAGGGCAGAGGAAGCACUUAGUAGGUUCUCCAUGACGCUGUGUUACAAGACUGACUGUGAGAGUCACACAAGAAGGAGAAACGCUGGCUAUCUUUCAGUUUCUCUUAGGCUGCCCAGGGGUGUUUCUUUGAGUAUCCUAUACCUGUCACAUCUUCUCUGGAAUCCAUUCUCCACACCUACAUGCCAAAUGUGUUUGAGUCUGUGUUUACACCGUUGGCAUACAUGUCACUGUUUAUUCUUGUCUUGUUCUGGGUCUUUGGGAAAUGGAACUGCCCCCUUAUGAGAAUUAUUUACACGGACUUGGGCGGGGAAUCUGUUUGAACUUGAGUGUGCCGUGGUAGUUACUAUGUCCAGGAAUGUGUCUGUCUUACAAGGAGUGCAAAUCAGUGUUUCACCCGUUGGUCACUGAUUGGAAUAGGUAAGACAGAUCUGGGAUUCAGCUCCAACCCUGAAAAUAGGGGACAAAUAUGCAAGAAAAACCAUGCAAGAGGUUUGCUAUUCGUGCUCUCGGUGUCUUUCUUUAAUGCAUUUGUUCUAUAAGCAUUUACUCUCCAGCCCUGUGCUAGGAAGCUGGAAUGCUGAGCUUACUCAGCCUGUUUGUCAACCCUCAAAGAGCUUUUUCUAAUGAUGGAAGAUAAAAGGUACUGGGACAGAAUAGUAGAAAGAGACAGCCUGUGCUUGAGGAGAGUCAGAGGUUAAAGAAGGCUUUGCAAAGAAGAUGACAUUUGAGCUGGUCUUCAGGGGAAGUUGAGGUCACCAUGCCCUCCAGAAGGAAGGACAUCCCAGUAUGAGGACAGAGCGAACACAAAGGCUUGGGACCUCAUAAAACGUGCUAUCUUGGGAAAUGUCAAAUAGUUUAAUGUGUCUAGCGUGUACUGUGUCUGGGAAGGUGGUAAGAGAUGAGAUUGGUAACAUAUGUUUUGGGGUUACCCUCUUUUAGAUGGGAAUGGCGGUUGGCCAUGCUGCUACUUGAGAUUAUUUUGCAAACAUAGUUUGGCGUUUCAUGGCCAUUUCAUUAACUAUGGCCAACUCUGCACGAUCCAUCUUGUGAAUUAUCAGAAGUCUUGCCAUACAUUAUUUCCCCUUGACGACCAUAGGAAUGUAUUCUUAAAAUCUCACUUAAGAUCAGUCCAAAGAAACCAUAAUUACGAAGGUAAAUCUGCUGGAACAAUUCAGAUUGCUUCCUCUUUUACCCAUAAGGGUGUGGGGCAUGGUAGGACCACCAUCUGCAUGAGGACAACUCAUGGUCAUGUCCGACUGUCACUGCAUAUAUACCAGAAGCUUGGGGUAAGGGGAUUUGACCUGACCCUGUACGUUUGGAUCUGGGAGGUAUGUGUUGAUGGGCUUCACCUGUCUAAUGUACUCCCCAAAUCACAGUACAAUAAUUUGGGGGGUGGUUUAUCUACUUCAUCAUUAGUGUAGCUGAUCAGAAAUGUGAGCAUCGUGCUUUAAAAAAAAAUGUUUAAUGCUUUCUGAUUAUGAAGUAAUACCUGCUUUUUGUGGAAAAUAGUUAAAUAUAAAUUUAUACAUAUAAAACAGAAAGAAAAACAAAAUCACCCACCACUACUAAGAAAGCAACAACAUUUGGGUGCAUUUAUUUUGUUUUACUUACAGGUUGAAUUCAUUAAAAUGAAUUUUUAAAAAUACGUAACAUUUAAUUGAGUCCGCCCCUCCAUUAAGCAUUCCUCUAUGAGAACACUUUUCUCCCUAUAACAUAAUUACUUAUACUUUUUUAAUACUCCCAGACCAGAUUGUACGGAUUUGGAGGACAGCUAAAGUGUGUUAUUCAUGUAGUGACCUAAUUUUGGCACAGGAAUCUAACACCGAGACUCAAGUUCUGAUACACGGCCGAACACUGCAAAGGAAUCCCGGCGUGUGCCCUGCGGAGCAGGCCUGCUCACCUCUCCCACCACUGCCCAGCCCAGAAUCUGGCAUGGAGUGUACGCCCAAGGAAUAUCGGUUGCUUGAAUAAAUGAAUGAAUGACUGGAUGGCUGGGUGAAUGUGGAUUUUUAUUCCAUUCUUCACCCAAAAUUCAUCGAGUCCCUACCAAGUGCAAGGUCUGGGCUAGGCAAUGGGGAUAUAAGUUGCCAUAUCUGAUACAAAGCCCACCCUCUUGGAGGCAUCAGUGUGAGGGUGCUGACCCCCUCUGAUGUGGGAUGGGGUUCCUAUGAAUGUGAGCCCCAUUGGCCUUUCAGCUCCUGUUCAUGGCAUGACUGCGGGGUGGGGAGACCCCAAACCCUCCAGGAUCUCUUCUGCCUAUGAUAUUAGGGACAGAGCCAAGGCUGCCAUUCCAGAGUCCCUGAACUCUUCAAGGUGCUCCAGAAAUGUGCAGCUAGCCCUGGGCUAGCCCUCCUCGGAACACUCCUCCCCUUCCCACUUCAUUCCAACUGGCCCCGGUUCAGAACAGGCGUGUUGUGGAGGGGUGCUUCACUGGAGGAAGACUAAGGGGAGAGGGGCACGACUGCUACUCUGGAAGAGAGCAGCCCUUGACAAACCUUCCACCACCGCAGCCGGCUGGUCCAACUGGAAAUCCCAGAUAAGCCCUAGUUCUGUUCAGAACUAGUUUGGCAGCUCUGGGGGAACGUUUCUGGCUAACUGACCCUCCCCACAGAGGGAGCUGGCAGUUCUGCAAAAAAGAAAAGAAAAGCAAACUAAAGGGGCAGAGAGGCGUGGCUAAAAUGAUUUGAAACACUCCAAAAUUCUGCUGGCUUGCAAGUGCAAGUUUACAGUUGAAGAUCCGAACAAGACUGUCACACACACACACACACACACACACACACACACAUUCAUUUUCUCACACUCUCCCCUUUUUUGCAAUAUGGUUUUGUUGCAGUGCAAUUUGUUUUGCAGCGCUAUUAUUGAAGCAAUAUAAUCCUGCCAGCAGCGCGACUUUCAGUCAAUGCAUUUUUUUCUGCAAUGCCAUUAUUAUUAACAAUUAUUAUUAUUACUGUUGUUGUUGUUGUUGUAAUUCAAUCUUUCUGCCCUUUCCCCUUCCUACUCGAAACGCGUUCCGGCUGUGAUUGCUCGGGUCUGACUUUGCGAGUGGCAGUGCGCUUCCAAACCCCCCUCGUCCGCCCCCGGUCCCCCUUUCCCCUCCCUCUCUUUUCCGCGCCCAGGCCAGAGCAGCCGAUUGGCAGAGCGGUGCUUUCAGGAACAAUAACAGUGGGGGGACCCCGGGGCCCGGGGAGCCGCCCCGCCCCCCGGCCCGGCGAGGCUCGCGCCCGCGCUGGGUCCCCACCUCCGUGCCCGCCCCGCGGGCUGAGCGGCCCAACGGGGGCCCGCCCCCGGCGCCCACCAUGUACGCCUUUGUGCGGUUCCUGGAGGACAACGUCUGCUACGCGCUGCCCGUGUCGUGCGUGCGCGACUUCAGUCCCCGCUCGCGGCUGGAUUUUGACAACCAGAAGGUGUACGCCGUGUACCGGGGCCCAGAGGAGCUGGGCACCGGGCCCGACAGCCCUCCGCGCGCCCCCCGCGACUGGGGAGCGCUGCUGCUCCACAAGGCCCAGAUCCUGGCGCUGGCAGAGACCCGAGGGGCGGAAGCCAGGCGACGUGGCGCACAAGAGCAUCGAGGCCGUGGUGGCCCGGCUGGAGAAGCAGAACGGCCUGAGCCUGGGCCACGGCACGUGUCCGGAGGAGGUCUUCGUGGAGGCCUCGCCAGGCACGGAGGACAUGGACAGUCUGGAGGAGGCCGUCGUGCCCCGGGCUCUGUACGAGGAGCUGCUGCGUAACUACCAGCAGCAGCAGGAGGAGAUGCGUCACCUCCAGCAGGAGCUGGAGCGGACUCGGAGGCAGCUGGUCCAGCAGGCCAAGAAGCUCAAGGAGUACGGGGCACUCGUGUCCGAAAUGAAGGAGCUCCGGGACCUCAACCGGAGGCUCCAGGACGUGCUGCUCCUGAGGCUUGGCAGUGGUCCAUCUGGGAAGCGGGAUUUGGGUUGAUGAGGAGAAGUGGCACCAGCUACAAGUAACCCAAGGCGAUUCCAAGUACACAAAGAACUUGGCAGUUAUGAUUUGGGGAACAGAUGUUCUGAAGAACAGAAGCGUCACAGGAGUUGCCACAAAAAAAAAGAAAGAUGCAGUCCCUAAGCCACCCCUGUCACCUCACAAACUCAGCAUCGUCAGAGAGUGUUUGUAUGACAGAAUAGCACAAGAAACUGUGGAUGAAACUGAAAUUGCACAGAGACUCUCCAAAGUCAACAAGUACAUCUGUGAAAAAAUCAUGGAUAUCAAUAAAUCCUGUAAAAAUGAAGAACGAAGGGAAGCA